GACGAACGCUGGCGGCGUGCUUAACACAUGCAAGUCGAACGGAAAGGCCUCUUUCGGGGGGUACUCGAGUGGCGAACGGGUGAGUAACACGUGUGUAACCUGCCCUUGUCUUUGGGAUAACUUCUGGAAACUGGGGCUAAUACCGGAUAGGAGCUCCUUCUGCAUUGUGGGGGUUGUAAAUUUUUUGCGGUUGGGGUUGGGAUCGCGGCUUAUCUGCUUGUUGGUGGGGUAGUGGCUUACCAAGGCUUUGACGGGUAUCCGGCCUGGGAGGGUGACCGGCCACAUUGGGACUGAGAUACGGGCCAGACUCAUACGGGAGGCAGAAGUGGGGAAAAGUGAAAAAUGGGUGGAAGCGUGAUGCAGCAACGCCGUGGGCGGGAUGACGGCCUUCGGGUUGUAAACCGCUUUCGCUCAUGACGAAGCUUUGUGUGACGGUAGUGGGUAAAGAAGCACCGGCUAACUACGUG
RNAcentral lists this ribosomal RNA (467 nucleotides) under uncultured bacterium. RNAcentral's name for it is "partial 16S ribosomal RNA". It matches the Rfam family "Bacterial small subunit ribosomal RNA", at positions 28 to 507 of the family's 1533-position model. The record is from RNAcentral.